GAUGAACGCUGGCGGCGUGCCUAAUACAUGCAAAUCGAACGAAACUUCUUUAUCACCGAGUGCUUGCACUCACCGAUAAAGAGUUGAGUGGCGAACGGGUGAGUAACACGUGGGCAACCUGCCCAAAAGAGGGGGAUAACACUUGGAAACAGGUGCUAAUACCGCAUAACCAUAGUUACCGCAUGGUAACUAUGUAAAAGGUGGCUAUACUACCGCUUUUGGAUGGGCCCGCGGCGCAUUAGCUAGUUGGUAGGGUAAAGGCUUACCAAGGCAAUGAUGCGUAGCCGAAGUGAGAGGUUGAUCGGCCACAUUGGGACUGAGACACGGCCCAAACUCCUACGGGAGGCAGCAGUAGGGAAUCUUCCACAAUGGGCGAAAGCCUGAUGGAGCAACGCCGCGUGGGUGAAGAAGGUCUUCGGAUCGUAAAACCCUGUUGUUAGAGAAGAAAGUGCGUGAGAGUAACUGUUCACGUUUCGACGGUAUCUAACCAGAAAGCCACGGCUAACUACGUG
This 512-nucleotide ribosomal RNA is filed under the name uncultured bacterium. Its description in RNAcentral is "partial 16S ribosomal RNA". It matches the Rfam family "Bacterial small subunit ribosomal RNA", at positions 28 to 507 of the family's 1533-position model. The record is from RNAcentral.